Molecule: ribosomal RNA, 768 nt
Filed under: uncultured bacterium
Lineage: Bacteria
Description: bacterial SSU rRNA
Rfam family: Bacterial small subunit ribosomal RNA
Source: RNAcentral
ACGGGUGAGUAACACGUGGGUAACCUGCCCAAGAGACUGGGAUAACACCUGGAAACAGAUGCUAAUACCGGAUAACAACACUAGACGCAUGUCUAGAGUUUAAAAGAUGGUUCUGCUAUCACUCUUGGAUGGACCUGCGGUGCAUUAGCUAGUUGGUAAGGUAACGGCUUACCAAGGCAAUGAUGCAUAGCCGAGUUGAGAGACUGAUCGGCCACAUUGGGACUGAGACACGGCCCAAACUCCUACGGGAGGCAGCAGUAGGGAAUCUUCCACAAUGGACGCAAGUCUGAUGGAGCAACGCCGCGUGAGUGAAGAAGGGUUUCGGCUCGUAAAGCUCUGUUGGUAGUGAAGAAAGAUAGAGGUAGUAACUGGCCUUUAUUUGACGGUAAUUACCUAGAAAGUCACGGCUAACUACGUGCCAGCAGCCGCGGUAAUACGUAGGUGGCAAGCGUUGUCCGGAUUUAUUGGGCGUAAAGCGAGUGCAGGCGGUUCAAUAAGUCUGAUGUGAAAGCCUUCGGCUCAACCGGAGAAUUGCAUCAGAAACUGUUGAACUUGAGUGCAGAAGAGGAGAGUGGAACUCCAUGUGUAGCGGUGGAAUGCGUAGAUAUAUGGAAGAACACCAGUGGCGAAGGCGGCUCUCUGGUCUGCAACUGACGCUGAGGCUCGAAAGCAUGGGUAGCGAACAGGAUAGAUACCCUGGUAGUCCAUGCCGUAAACGAUGAGUGCUAAGUGUUGGGAGGUUUCCGCCUCUCAGUGCUGCAGCUAACG